AAACUGAAGAGUUUGAUCCUGGCUCAGAUUGAACGCUGGCGGCAUGCCUAACACAUGCAAGUCGAACGGAGGGCUUCGGCCUUCAGUGGCGGAAGGGUGAGUAAUGCGUAGGGAUCUGCACCGCAGUGGG
RNAcentral lists this ribosomal RNA (130 nucleotides) under Gammaproteobacteria bacterium. RNAcentral describes it as "partial 16S ribosomal RNA". It matches the Rfam family "Bacterial small subunit ribosomal RNA", at positions 1 to 140 of the family's 1533-position model. Lineage: Bacteria; Pseudomonadati; Pseudomonadota; Gammaproteobacteria. The record is from RNAcentral.